AACGAACGCUGGCGGCGUGCCUAACACAUGCAAGUCGUACGAGAAACACGUCCUUCGGGAUGUGGAGUAAAGUGGCGCACGGGUGAGUAACACGUGGGUAACCUGCCUUGGGGAUCGGGAUAACUGGCCGAAAGGCCCGCUAAUACCGGAUGAGACCACAUGAGCUACGGCUCAAGGGGUCAAAGUCGGCCUCUCAACGAAGCCGGCACCACAAGAUGGGCCCGCGGACCAUUAGCUAGUUGGUAGGGUAAUGGCCUACCAAGGCUGAGAUGGUUAGCUGGUCUGAGAGGAUGAUCAGCCACACUGGAACUGAGAUACGGUCCAGACUCCUACGGGAGGCAGCAGUGAGGAAUAUUGCGCAAUGGAGGAAACUCUGACGCAGCAACGCCGCGUGGGUGAAGAAGGCUUUCGGGUUGUAAAGCCCUGUCAGGCGGGAAGAAACUUCCGCAGGUGAAUAGUCUGUGGAACUGACGGUACCGCCAAAGGAAGCACCGGCUAACUCCGUGCCAGCCGCCGCGGUAA
This 522-nucleotide ribosomal RNA is filed under the name uncultured bacterium. Its description in RNAcentral is "partial 16S ribosomal RNA". It matches the Rfam family "Bacterial small subunit ribosomal RNA", at positions 29 to 523 of the family's 1533-position model. The record is from RNAcentral.